UGUUUCCUACGGGGGGCAGCAGUCGGGAAUAUUGCGCAAUGGAGGAAACUCUGACGCAGUGACACCGCGUGCAGGAAGAAGGUGUUCGGAUUGUAAAUUGCUUUAGACAGGGAAGAAAAAAGACAGUACCUGUAGAAUAAGCUCCGGCUAACUACGUGCCAGCAGCCGCGGUAAUACGUAGGGAGCAAGCGUUAUCCGGAUUUAUUGGGUGUAAAGGGUGCGUAGACGGAGAAGCAAGUUAGUUGUGAAAUCCCUCGGCUUAACUGAGGAACUGCAACUAAAACUACUUCCCUUGAUUACUGGAG
RNAcentral lists this ribosomal RNA (305 nucleotides) under uncultured bacterium. RNAcentral describes it as "bacterial SSU rRNA". It matches the Rfam family "Bacterial small subunit ribosomal RNA", at positions 333 to 654 of the family's 1533-position model. The record is from RNAcentral.